This 467-nucleotide ribosomal RNA is filed under the name uncultured bacterium. RNAcentral's name for it is "partial 16S ribosomal RNA". It matches the Rfam family "Bacterial small subunit ribosomal RNA", at positions 29 to 507 of the family's 1533-position model. The record is from RNAcentral.
AGUGAACGCUGGCGGUAGGCCUAACACAUGCAAGUCGAACGGCAGCACAGUAAGAGCUUGCUCUUACGGGUGGCGAGUGGCGGACGGGUGAGGAAUACAUCGGAAUCUACUUUUUCGUGGGGGCUAACGUAGGGAAACUUACGCUAAUACCGCAUACGACCUACGGGUGAAAGCAGGGGAUCUUCAGACCUUGCGCGAUUGAAUGAGCCGAUGUCGGAUUAGCUAGUUGGCGGGGUAAAGGCCUACGAAGGCGACGCUACGUAGCUGGUCUGAGAGGAAGAGACCAGACACCGGCGUGGGGCACCGGCCCAGAAUCCUAGGGGAGGGAGGAGUGCGUAAUAUUGGCAUAGGGGGGAAAGGAUGAUGAAGUAAUGCCGCGUGAGUGAUGAAGGCCGUAGGGUAGUAAAGCUCUUUUAUACGCGACGAUAAUGACAGUACCGGGAGAAUAAGCUCCGGCUAACUCCGUG